This 253-nucleotide ribosomal RNA is filed under the name uncultured bacterium. Its description in RNAcentral is "partial 16S ribosomal RNA". It matches the Rfam family "Bacterial small subunit ribosomal RNA", at positions 524 to 776 of the family's 1533-position model. The record is from RNAcentral.
UACGUAGGGGGCAAGCGUUAUCCGGAUUUACUGGGUGUAAAGGGAGCGUAGACGGCAUGGCAAGUCUGAAGUGAAAGCCCGGGGCUCAACCCCGGGACUGCUUUGGAAACUGUCGGACUAGAGUGUCGGAGGGGUAAGCGGAAUUCCUAGUGUAGCGGUGAAAUGCGUAGAUAUCAGGAGGAACAUCGGUGGCGAAGGCGGCCUGCUGGACUGUAACUGACGUUGAGGUUCGAAAGCGUGGGUAGCAAACAGG